Molecule: transfer RNA, 86 nt
Filed under: Andalucia godoyi
Lineage: Eukaryota; Jakobea; Jakobida; Andaluciidae
Description: tRNA-Ser
Rfam family: tRNA
About the family: Transfer RNA (tRNA) molecules are approximately 80 nucleotides in length.
Source: RNAcentral
GGAGAUGUCGCAUAGUUGGUCUAGUGCGUUCGCUUGGAAGGCGAAUAGACUGAAAGGUCUCAUGGGUUCGAAUCCCAUCAUCUCCU